UAAAAAAUAAGCUAAUUAAGCUAGUGGGUUCAUACCUCAUCAAUAAAGGUUUUAAUCCUUUUUUUUUAA
Molecule: transfer RNA, 69 nt
Filed under: Contacyphon sp. BT0012
Lineage: Eukaryota; Metazoa; Arthropoda; Insecta; Coleoptera; Scirtidae
Also listed under: 1 other name
Description: tRNA-Met
Rfam family: tRNA
About the family: Transfer RNA (tRNA) molecules are approximately 80 nucleotides in length. Their secondary structure includes four short double-helical elements and three loops (D, anti-codon, and T loops).
Source: RNAcentral